This is a long non-coding RNA of Homarus americanus (American lobster), 1003 nucleotides long. RefSeq lists it as uncharacterized. The record is from RefSeq and is a predicted model, not a curated record. NCBI's taxonomy places the organism in Eukaryota, Metazoa, Arthropoda, Malacostraca, Decapoda, Nephropidae. The transcript has 2 exons.
GCGGGUGUGGAUCGCUUUGACUGGCUAACCUCCCUCUCACGCUGCCGCUCACCUCUCCCGUAGCCUCUCACCUAUUCCAUGUUCUCCCAUUCCUCCACUCUGUAUCUCACACACACACAAUUUCCUCACCCUAUCCCUCAACAAUCAUCCAUCUUCACUACACUCAUCAAAAGGACAAUAAUGAAUUCCCUCAGUAAAGGAAUUCCAACGUUGUGAAGUUUUGCGUUAUGAUAAAUGCAAUACAGCGACAGGUUGAGAUCCAGUCAGUCACAAGAUACGAGCCUAAAGGAAUUCAUUAUUCACCUCACUCACACCCAUUGAGUAAAAGAUAUCAACAGUAGGGGAAAAAAUACCCAAAUUAUACAAAAAAAAAAUCCCAGGAAACAGGAAAAACAAAUACCAGUAAUCCCCCCAAAUAAAAAUAUAUAAUAAUGUGAUAUAAAACAACAUAGACAUUAAUUCUGAUAUAAAUUCGUCUUUAAGUUACUGCUCAUAAAUACAUAGAGAGAAACUACAGUAUGUUAGAAAAUAAUGAACUUUCCCAGGUAUAUAAAGAAAAAGAGUUAGUGUUUAAUAAAGUUCCUGAAUGCAAUGGUUCGUAUUUUAGAUUGAAAUAGACAAUCAGUUCGAAGAGAAAGUUUUUUUAUGCGACGAAGAGAAUGAGGAAAUGAAAUAGUGAUAAUAAAAGGAUGUUAAACGAUAUAGAAAAGAAAGAGGAAAUAGUGAAAGGGCCUCAUAGUGAAAUGUGAUAAAAAACAUAGGAAGUUAUAUGGAAGAAAACACAGAAGAAUAGAGAUAAUGUGAAAAAUCGUCAUUACACAAAAUUGAUAUAAAUAAAGAAUAACAAUAACAAAAACAGGGAAGGUAAGAGAAAACAGAAGUUAAUAAAGACAAAGAGAAACAACAAACAAUAACAAAUAAGAAAAAUAAACAAGGCUAUUGAGAACUGCUUGACGCUAACCCCCUUCCUUGACGCAAACAAUCCCCUCCCUCCUUCCUUGAC